Molecule: ribosomal RNA, 519 nt
Filed under: uncultured bacterium
Lineage: Bacteria
Description: partial 16S ribosomal RNA
Rfam family: Bacterial small subunit ribosomal RNA
Source: RNAcentral
GACGAACGCUGGCGGCGUGCCUAAUACAUGCAAGUCGAGCGAAUCUGCGAUGAGCUUCGGCGUGCUUGCACUCUGUGAAACGAGAUACUGACAAGUGGCUAACGUGUCUGUAACACGUGGGUAACCUGCCGAAGCGGUCGGUAAUACCGCUUGAUACAGUUACCCAUAUGGGUUAAUAGUAGAUGACGCUUUUCAUCUCACUAAUAGAUGGUUCUGCUCUGACUUUUCUAUUGGCCUGCGGUGCAUUAGCUAGUUGGUAGGGUAACGGCCUACCAAGGCAAUGAUGCAUAGCCGACUUGAGAGGCUGAUCGGCCACACUGGAACUGAGACACGGCCCAAACUCCUACGGGAGGCAGCAGUAGGGAAUCUUCCGCAAUGGGCGAAAGUCUGAUGGAGCAACGCCGCGUGAGUGAAGAAGGGCUUCGGCUCGUAAAGCUCUGUUGUUAGGGAAGAACAACUGUGGAAGUAACUGUGCUUGUUUUGACGGUAAUUAAUCAGAAAGCCACGGCUAACUACGUG